This 970-nucleotide ribosomal RNA is filed under the name bacterium enrichment culture clone B31160. Its description in RNAcentral is "bacterial SSU rRNA". It matches the Rfam family "Bacterial small subunit ribosomal RNA", at positions 8 to 916 of the family's 1533-position model. The record is from RNAcentral.
AGAGUUUGAUCAUGGCUCAGGACGAACGCUGGCGGCGUGGAUUAGGCAUGCAAGUCGAACGGUAUAAACCUUUCGGGGUUUAGAGAGUGGCGAACGGGUGAGUAACACGUAGGUAAUCUACCCUCAAAACGGGGACAACCCAGGGAAACUUGGGCUAAUACCGGAUGCGUGCAAGCAAUGUUUUGGCUGUUAAUGCUAUUCACGGAAGUGAGUAGUGUUAAUGGUUGAGAGCAUUAUUUGCAUAAAAGGUGGCAUAUGCUGCCGUUUGAGGAUGAGCCUGCGUCCUAUUAGUUAGUUGGUGAGGUAAUGGCUUACCAAGGCGAUGAUAGGUAGGCGGCCUUAACGGGUGGUCGCCCACACUGGGAUUGAGAGACGGCCCAGACUCCUACGGGAGGCAGCAGUCGAGAAUAGUCUACAAUGGACGGAAGUCUGAUAGUGCGACGCCGCGUGAACGAAGAAUCCCUUCGGGGUGUAAAGUUCUUUUAUACGUGAGCAGUGCCCUUUAUAUGAAUAGUAUAGAGGGGGGAUUUAAGCGUAUGAAUAAGCAACGGCUAACUCCGUGCCAGCAGCCGCGGUAACACGGGGGUUGCAAGCGUUGUCCGGAAUUACUAGGCGUAAAGUGCAGGUAGGCGGAUAGAUAAGUUUAAGGUUAAAGGCUACGGCUUACCCGUAGUAAGGCGUUAGAUACUGUUUAUCUGGAAUGCGGUUGAGGGAGACAGAAUUCCUGGUGUAGCGGUGGAAUGCGCAGAGAUCAGGAGGAAUACCGAAGGCGAAGGCAGUCUUCUAAGCCGAUAUUGACGCUAAACUGCGAAGGUGUGGGGAUCAAACAGGAUUAGAUACCCUGGUAGUCCACACAGUAAACGAUAAUCACUAGGUGUUGGGUUCGUAUAGGACUCGGUGCCGGAGCUAACGCGAUAAGUGAUUCGCCUGGGGAGUACGAUCGCAAGGUUGAAACUCAAUGAAUUGACGG